UACAGAGGAUGCAAGCGUUAUCCGGAAUUAUUGGGCGUAAAGCGCUGGUAGGUGGCUUGUUAAGUCGCGUGUGAAAGCUCCAGGCUCAACCUGGAAAGUGCGCGCGAAACUGGCGAGCUUGAGUGCCGGAGAGGGUCGCGGAAUUCCCGGUGUAGAGGUGAAAUUCGUAGAUAUCGGGAGGAACACCAGAGGCGAAGGCGGCGACCUGGAAGGUAACUGACACUGAGCAGCGAAAGCGUGGGGAGCAAACAGG
RNAcentral lists this ribosomal RNA (253 nucleotides) under uncultured bacterium. RNAcentral describes it as "partial 16S ribosomal RNA". It matches the Rfam family "Bacterial small subunit ribosomal RNA", at positions 524 to 776 of the family's 1533-position model. The record is from RNAcentral.